Molecule: small nucleolar RNA, 106 nt
Organism: Gossypium arboreum
Lineage: Eukaryota; Viridiplantae; Streptophyta; Magnoliopsida; Malvales; Malvaceae
Rfam family: Plant small nucleolar RNA R71
About the family: R71 is a member of the C/D box family of snoRNAs containing the C (UGAUGA) and D (CUGA) box motifs. Multiple nearly identical copies of this snoRNA have been identified in Arabidopsis, and it is thought to function as a 2'-O-ribose methylation guide for 18S ribosomal RNA.
Source: Rfam
AACCCAUGGUGAAGGCAUCUUCUCAGGAGGUCAUUGCAUCUCUCCCAUGCAUCAUAGAGUGAUUCUAAAUCCAUCUACACAAAAUAAGAGAUAUCAUUAUGUAAUU